GGUUUGUGGCUCAGUGGGAGAGCACUUGCCUAGCAUGUGUGAGGCACUGGGUUCAAUCCUCAGCACCA
Molecule: transfer RNA, 68 nt
Filed under: Marmota monax (woodchuck)
Lineage: Eukaryota; Metazoa; Chordata; Mammalia; Rodentia; Sciuridae
Description: tRNA.Ala
Source: RNAcentral